GUACUCACUUCAACAGCGCAUAUGCUAAAAUUGGAAUGAUACGGAGAUUAGCGUGGCCCUCGCACAAGGACAACACACAAAUUUGUGAAGCGUUCCAAAUGUUU
Molecule: small nuclear RNA, 104 nt
Organism: Ailuropoda melanoleuca (giant panda)
Lineage: Eukaryota; Metazoa; Chordata; Mammalia; Carnivora; Ursidae
Source: Ensembl